Molecule: long non-coding RNA, 1522 nt
Organism: Papaver somniferum (opium poppy)
Lineage: Eukaryota; Viridiplantae; Streptophyta; Magnoliopsida; Ranunculales; Papaveraceae
Exons: 5
Source: RefSeq, a predicted model, not a curated record
UCGACUUAGGUUUAGUGGAGAAAAAAAAAAGGGUUUCGAGGAGAAAACGCAGAUGAGAGCGAUGAUAUAUGUUCUGAUUUAGCUCCAAUAUUCAAUCUUCUCCAACUCCUACUUCAAUUCAAGCUUUUUUCGUCACAUCUACUAAAUUAUUAACCUUCAUCUCAAUUUCCCAUUGAACUUAGGGUUUUCCCAUUGAGUAAUUUAAACAACAAAAAUUGAGCUGAGAAAAAAUGGAUUGAGGAACUGGAAUGCUUCAACUACACAGGUAUAUAUGAACACCAGAUUUCUAAGGGUCGGAUUGAUGUUUGAAUCAACAGUAUCAAAUUGGGGGUUUCGAUUUUUCUUUUCCAGAAAAUGCAGCUGGCUAAAACAACCAAGAAAAAUUUGCUUUGAAUGCGUCGUCAUUGAUCAUGACCCUGAAGAUAACCUAGAUAAGGAUUCUGAAGAUAGGGAUUUGAAAGGAACUAAUAAAGAAAGUAGAAAUUCAACUGUUAUAAGUAGAGUGGAGAAAAGCGAACAAAGAGAGAUUUGGUAUAAAAUUCAAUACAGAGAAGGUAUGGGUGGUAAUAAUGUUCAGACUUCAGAGUAACGUUUCUACCAAUAGGAGGGGUUCAAUUGCUGCUGCUAUUGUGGUUGUAGCUGCAGAGAUCUGGGGAAUCUCUAGGUGGCAUGGUCAGGCAGCUAUCGAUGGAUCAGUUUGACUCCACAGAGCGCCAUAACGGCUAAGAAUCUAUUGGAUAGACAAUUAUAUGUCAUUAUGGUGGCUUGGAAGCCACAAAUGAUGGAAGCAGAUGACUACAUGUUGAAAUUGGCUAGACAUGCAAAGCUAUCAGAUCAUCUUAUGAUAGCGAAAUUCACCAGAUGCACAUGCCGGAUGCUUAUAUGUGGGUUUGUUUGAACUUUGUUGAUUUUUUGCUUUGCAUACACUCUUUCUUACUAAGAAGAAGUGAUGAGAGUGGUAAUACUUGCUUAAUUAGUAUCUCCUUCAAUUCAUUUGCCAUCUGUAAUUUUACUCAAGUCGGUUUUUGUUGUCCAAAUAGUCCUAUUUGGGAUUGUUUGUUUUGAGUUAAUUUUCGAUUACGUCUAACAUUAUUAUUGUUUACUCCAUUUUUCUUAAUUGGCCUGCGUUGAAAAGCAUAUUGAUGUUCAAGGUAUGAAUGUUUGUAUCACUCUUUAUACCAAAUGAUCCGUAUCUAUAGUAAUUGACAUCAAUAUUAACUGCACUAAUUUGCUUUUAUUUUAAGUAAUGUCAGGCCAUUGGGUGUGUGACAGGAUUCACAGGAACAUGGCAGAACAUGAAUGAAUCUUUAGUUUAUGCUAUUUUUCACUUGAACUACAAAAUUAUUGAAUAAAGUGUUGGAUUUUUUUUUGAACGAAAUGGCAGGCGCGGGCGCAUGCGUGCAUAGUGUGUUCUCACAUUUGUGUAAAAGUCCAAAACCGGGAACCUAAAGCAUGCGUACCCGUACGCAUACUGGCGGAAGUUUCACGUUCGUGAAUUUCUGCUGGAGUUUGAAAGUUAAAA